Molecule: ribosomal RNA, 290 nt
Filed under: uncultured bacterium
Lineage: Bacteria
Description: partial 16S ribosomal RNA
Rfam family: Bacterial small subunit ribosomal RNA
Source: RNAcentral
GGAUUAGAUACCCUGGUAGUCCACGCCGUAAACGAUGUGCACUAGGUGUUGGGCCAUGACGGUUCAGUGCCGGAGUUAACGCGGUAAGUGCACCGCCUGGGGAGUAUGCUCGCAAGGGUGAAACUCAAAGGAAUUGACGGGGGCCCGCACAAGCGGUGGAGCAUGUGGUUUAAUUCGAUGAUACGCGAGGAACCUUACCAGGGCUUGACAUAUGCCGGAGUGUGCAGGAGACUGCGCAGCCCUUCGGGGCCGGUAUACAGGUGCUGCAUGGCUGUCGUCAGCUCGUGCUG